UUUUUUACUUGUUAUGUUAAUAAUAAGAUUAGUUAAAAAUAAUAAAAAUCCAUUAAAGUAUAGGAUAGCAAACAAAACAUAAGGUUUAUCUCCUCUUCCUGGUGUGACAGAAACUUUCAAACUCAGAAAUCCAACUCAAGAACCAUGCCUCUCUACCCUUAAAUCAAUAUCGCCCAAAUCAGGCUCAAACAAUGCAGUCAAAGGGAACAACACAACAUUGGUAAGGGAUAGCAAAAGGCGUGUGAGUCUUUCAAAGAAUAUGGUGGUUUAUCAGCCUCGGGGGCUCUUUUACGGUGGAGCGUGUUUGUGUUGCGUCAACGGCGGGGGUGUCGCAGUCGGUUUUUCGGCGGAGGGCGACGUGGUUCGGAGAGGGCACGACUAUUGAACUCCGGUAAGGUUCGGUUUGAAUUUCGAUUCAAUGUGUUUUUGGUUUUCGACUCGAUUUGGAUUGCGACUGUUUUUUAGAUAUCGAUUUUGAGAUGCAUAUGCCUGAGCUUCUCUUAAUGCACUUGAUUUUAGACUCUGUUCUAUUCUAAUUUUCAAUUCAUCUUUUCCUAGGUUUUCGAUUUGUUUUCGGAUUCAGUUCGGGUUCUAUUUCAAUUUCAACUUGUUAUUAUUUUAGAUUUUUAGACAGGUUUUAAAGGGUUUCGAUUCAUUAAAUGUUUCUGCUUGUGUUUUUUUAUUACUUGAAGUUGAUAUAUGGUUCACAUGUGAAUUGCAGGUUGUAAGGUGAAGUUUGGAUAAGUUGGUUUUGUGAAGGAGAUUGCGGACUUGGUUACGUUUUUUCUUAGAAAACAUUUUACAAAGGCAAUGUUUAUAGACCUAAACUAAAUUUAGUUUGAAAUUGAAACAAGUUAUGAAUAUUGAUUUUAAAAUAGGUUAUGAGAAUUUGAUUAUGCUAUUGCUUUUUCGACAUAUGUUAUGGUUCGUUAAUUUAAAACAGUUUAUGGUUUUUUUAUUAAAAAAAAGUUGAUUCCCUUA
Molecule: long non-coding RNA, 981 nt
Filed under: Lathyrus oleraceus (garden pea)
Lineage: Eukaryota; Viridiplantae; Streptophyta; Magnoliopsida; Fabales; Fabaceae
Description: Pisum sativum (pea) long non-coding RNA (PSAT_LNC031236)
Source: RNAcentral